UUGCACGCUGGCGGCAGGCCUAACACCUGCCAGUCGAGCGGAUGAAGGGAGCUUGCUCCUGGAUUCAGCGGCGGACGGGUGAGUAAUGCCUAGGAAUCUGCCUGGUAGUGGGGGAUAACGUCCGGAAACGGGCGCUAAUACCGCAUACGUCCUGAGGGAGAAAGUGGGGGAUCUUCGGACCUCACGCUAUCAGAUGAGCCUAGGUCGGAUUAGCUAGUUGGUGGGGUAAAGGCCUACCAAGGCGACGAUCCGUAACUGGUCUGAGAGGAUGAUUAGUCACACUGGAACUGAGACACGGUCCAGACUCCUACGGGAGGCAGCAGUGGGGAAUAUUGGACAAAGGGCGAAAGCCUGAUCCAGCCAUGCCGCGUGUGUGAAGAAGGUCUUCGGAUUGUAAAGCACUUUAAGUUGGGAGGAAGGGCAGUAAGUUAAUACCUUGCUGUUUUGACGUUACCAACAGAAUAAGCACCGGCUAACUUCGUG
This 483-nucleotide ribosomal RNA is filed under the name uncultured bacterium. RNAcentral describes it as "partial 16S ribosomal RNA". It matches the Rfam family "Bacterial small subunit ribosomal RNA", at positions 30 to 507 of the family's 1533-position model. The record is from RNAcentral.